Molecule: ribosomal RNA, 1313 nt
Filed under: Cytospora sorbicola
Lineage: Eukaryota; Fungi; Ascomycota; Sordariomycetes; Diaporthales; Cytosporaceae
Description: partial large subunit ribosomal RNA
Rfam family: Eukaryotic large subunit ribosomal RNA
Source: RNAcentral
AUUGCCCUAGUAACGGCGAGUGAAGCGGCAACAGCUCAAAUUUGAAAGCUGGCUCCGGCCCGCAUUGUAAUUUGCAGAGGAUGCUUUUGGCGAGGUGCCUUCCGAGUUCCCUGGAACGGGACGCCAUAGAGGGUGAGAGCCCCGUAUGGAUGGACACCAAACCUGUGUAAAGCUCCUUCAACGAGUCGAGUAGUUUGGGAAUGCUGCUCUAAAUGGGAGGUAAAUCUCUUCUAAAGCUAAAUACCGGCCAGAGACCGAUAGCGCACAAGUAGAGUGAUCGAAAGAUGAAAAGCACCUUGAAAAGGGGGUUAAACAGUACGUGAAAUUGUUGAAAGGGAAGCAUUUAUGACCAGACUUGCGCCGGGCAGCUCAUCAGGGGUUCUCCCCUGUGCACUCUGCCCGGCUCAGGCCAGCAUCGGUUCUCGUGGGAGGAUAAGAACAGUGGGAACGUGGCCCCCCUCCGGGGGGGUGUUAUAGCCCAUUGUACGAUACUCUCGUGGGGACCGAGGUUCGCGCUCCGCAAGGAUGCUGGCGUAAUGGUCAUCAAUGACCCGUCUUGAAACACGGACCAAGGAGUCGUCCAUUAGAGCGAGCGUUUGGGUGUAAAACCCGCACGCGUAAUGAAAGUGAACGCAGGUGAGAGCUUCGGCGCAUCAUCGACCGAUCCUGAUGUCUUCGGAUGGAUUUGAGUAAGAGUUUUAACGGACGGACCCGAAAGACAGUGAACUAUGCUUGUAUAGGGUGAAGCCAGAGGAAACUCUGGUGGAGGCUCGCAGCGGUUCUGACGUGCAAAUCGAUCGUCAAAUAUGAGCAUGGGGGCGAAAGACUAAUCGAACUGUCUAGUAGCUGGUUACCGCCGAAGUUUCCCUCAGGAUAGCAGUGUUGUUCUUCAGUUUUAUGAGGUAAAGCGAAUGAUUAGGGACUCGGGGGCGCUUAUUAGCCUUCAUCCAUUCUCAAACUUUAAAUAUGUAAGAAGCCCUUGUUACUUAAUUGAACGUGGGCAUUCGAAUGUACCAACACUAGUGGGCCAUUUUUGGUAAGCAGAACUGGCGAUGCGGGAUGAACCGAACGCGGGGUUAAGGCGCCAGAGUGUACGCUCAUCAGACACCACAAAAGGCGUUAGUACAUCUUGACAGCAGGACGGUGGCCAUGGAAGUCGGAAUCCGCUAAGGACUGUGUAACAACUCACCUGCCGAAUGUACUAGCCCUGAAAAUGGAUGGCGCUCAAGCGUACCGCCCAUACCCCGCCCUCAGGGUAGAAACGAUGCCCUGAGGAGUAGGCGGCCGUGGGGGUCAGUGACGAAGCCUAGGGC